This is a long non-coding RNA of Bos taurus (domestic cattle), 1643 nucleotides long. NCBI's taxonomy places the organism in Eukaryota, Metazoa, Chordata, Mammalia, Artiodactyla, Bovidae. The record is from Ensembl.
ACUGACUUGGAACUGGUGCUAGAACUUCCCUGCCUGUAUUGUUUACAUGGCCAGUGUCAGUUUUUUCACAGUCUGGAUCUGCAGGGCAGGACAGGGAUGCUAUUUUAUUUUUCAGUAGUUCCUCUACUACCUGAAACAUUUUCUGUAGCUGCUACCUUCUUUGUGUUCAUUAGGAACGGAGCAACAGAUGACAAAAUGCAUACUCCAGCUGGGACUUGGAAACCUACCUCGACAGAGGAGUUAAAAAUGAGCAUAUGAACUUCAGCCACCAAAAAGAGAACGGUGUUAUUUUCAUAGUCCCUUCCUUCUAGGAAUGAUGUGGGUUUCUUACAAAAGAACAGCAUUCUUCUUGCCCUGAGCAGAAUACCAUUCCCUCAGGACUAGGACCCUGAUGUUUCCUGAACGUCCUUCAGCCAGGACCCAGAACCUAUCCUGAACCCCACCGUGGAAACUGGAUAUUUGGGGCGUGAAGAAUGGCUUUCUCUGAACCAAAAUACAAGGGGGAAGUCACUUCACAGUGCAUUCAUGGUUCUUGUCCUGACUUUAUUCAACAUUUUUGUUGGUGAUUUGCUAAAAAACACAGAAAAUCAUGGAAUUAUGACAGCAAAUGUAAUACAGAAUAUCAGUGCUCACCAGAUAUUUCAUGUUGCCCAGCCUCCCUUGAAGGUGGGCUGGGGUCACAUAACUAAUUCUGGCCAAUGGGCUAAGAGCCAGGAACCUCCUCCAUCCUUUCCUUUCCCCGUAGCAGAGACCCUGGGAUCCUUGUGUUCAGACAGCCCUGCCUCCAGGGAAGCUACUGCUAUUAUUUCGGUGAACAGAGCCACAGUGCAAUUGAGAACCAGUAUCUUGGUCCAAUCCUGAAGAGGAUGAGUAGAGCUUUCAGGCAUCAGGUGCUGUUAGCUAAAAUGGAGGGCAUCACUAGAGCCUCCUUUUGCCUUAGAAUUUUCUGAACUAGCAGGGAAGCUUAAGUCAGAGACACCAUUUCAGAGAACUAUGGCCAAAGGUGGUGGAAGCAGCCUUUCUGUGGAUACAUUUAAUGAUGUGUCUUGAAAUAGGAAUUUCAGUAACCUCUAAAUGAGGACAUCACUUACUGUUUUCUGUGAUCAAAUGGCAGGCAUGCAGGUGUAGAAACCUCUGCCAGCCCAGAGGCAGAACCCAAAUCAGGCUUUCCUUCCUGGGACCAACCAGCUUCCUAUUCAUGCCAAGGGCUGACAUCAAAACUUUCUUGCAACAGAAAGAAAGCAAUCUGCCUCCUCACCUCUAACAACCUCCAGCUCAUUAUUAGGAGGAAGGAGAAGCCUUCCCUCAGCAGGACGGGGGUGGUUUUUAUCGAUGCAUGGUUACAUAAUGCUGUCUGCCUCAGAAGUUACAGUGUAAUAGGAAUACUGGCAUCACUACAAAAAAAAAAAAUGGUAAAUAAAUAAAGCUCUCUCGCUGGCUCCAAGCUUACCUUUGAUUUGCCUUAUAUUGAUCACAAAGAAUACCUUAGGAGAUUCCGUCAGGAUUAGAGUCUCAUUCAAGAGGAACUGGUAUUAAUCUACAGAGAGAAUUAUGAAGUGGCAACUUGAUCAUAUUUCCCUUUUUACAAGGAUUGCUUUUUUUGUUUGUUUUUUUCCGUAGCCGUGGUGAACCGGUCUAUUUAG